AAAAAAAAACCUACCCAUAACACUUCAGUUUUGUACAUUCCAUGAGCAGAAGAUUAUAUAAUUUAGUAAAAUACAAACUUAUAACCCCAUCAAAGUAUCAUACUUUACAUAAAUUUCAAGAAAAUCAACCAAAACUGACCAAAACAAGACUCAUUUUUUGCAGAGUUAUCUCCCCUUUUAGUGUUAAUUUCCAUACAAUUUUGAGUUUUCCUCAAAU
RNAcentral lists this long non-coding RNA (217 nucleotides) under Mytilus galloprovincialis (Mediterranean mussel). Lineage: Eukaryota; Metazoa; Mollusca; Bivalvia; Mytilida; Mytilidae. The record is from RNAcentral.